This 252-nucleotide unclassified non-coding RNA is filed under the name Hevea brasiliensis (rubber tree). The record is from RNAcentral. Lineage: Eukaryota; Viridiplantae; Streptophyta; Magnoliopsida; Malpighiales; Euphorbiaceae.
AGAAGUGACUCCUAGAACAGUUGGAGCACUAAUUGCCCUUUAUGAACGGGCUGUUGGUAUCUACGCAUCUCUGGUCAAUAUCAAUGCAUAUCAUCAGCCUGGUGUAGAGGCCGGGAAAAAGGCAGCAGGAGAAGUACUAGCUCUUCAGAAGAGAAUUCUUUCCGUUCUUAAUGAGGCUAGUUGCAAGGAUCCGGUUGAGCCAUUAUCGCUUGAAGAAAUCGCAGAUCGCUGUCAUGCACCUGAAGAGAUUGA